RNAcentral lists this ribosomal RNA (207 nucleotides) under uncultured bacterium. Its description in RNAcentral is "partial 16S ribosomal RNA". It matches the Rfam family "Bacterial small subunit ribosomal RNA", at positions 568 to 774 of the family's 1533-position model. The record is from RNAcentral.
UGCGCAGGCGGUUAUGUAAGACAGAGGUGAAAUCCCCGGGCUCAACCUGGGAACUGCCUUUGUGACUGCAUGGCUAGAGUGCGGCAGAGGGGGAUGGAAUUCCUGGUGUAGCGGUGAAAUGCGUAGAUAUCAGGAGGAUCACCGGUGGCGAAGGCGGCUACCUGGACAGAAACUGACGCUGAGGCGCGAAAGCUAGGGGAGCAAACA